CGAGCGGGCACCGCACGCGGUGCGUUCCCUGCGCUCAAGGGCAGGCAGCCCCAGGGCCCGCCCUCUCCAGGUCGGCCCUGCGCAGGCGGCUGCAACUACAGCUCCCGGCGAGCCCCGCAGCUCUGGAGCGGGCCCGGCCCGGGCGCGCGCGGCACGCCGGGAGCUGUAGGCCCUACGAGACGCCGCGAGGCGGGCAGGGCGCCACGUGAUGGCGGAGAAGCCGCGCGCUGAUUGGCUGCGGCGAGGAGCGCGAGAGCUUCCGGGACCCCGGGCCGGGCUGCUUGUUUGGAUGCUUCCGUCACAUCAUGGCGACGCGCGGAGCCGAGGCAGCGCGCGGCGGCGGUGGCAGCGGCAGCACCAGCACCAGCACCAGCAGCACAAGCCGCGCGGCGGGGGCGGGGCCUGGGCUAAGGCCGGGCCGACGCGAGGCAGCCGCAGUUGGCGCGGGGCCGCUCAGCAGCGUGGAGGUCCAUGGAUGGAUGGAGAGCAAGUAGGGUUAUCGUAAAAACAGAAGUGGAACCUGAUUGAGGGGAAGUGAGUCAUAUUGUUCAAAUGCGUUUUUGUCUCGCGUAAGUAGCUAAGUAGGAGAUUGGUUUGUUAAACAUUCAGUGCUUCAUCUCUCAGUUAAGGUCUAAGAAUUCAAGUUCUCUGGGUCUUCCAGAAAAACCUUCUGCAGAUUUCCUCCUGGAGAGCCUGAAUUCUGAGAUCUUUGUAUUAAAAAGAUGGCACAAAGCCCAUUUUUCCUUUGCAGGUCAGCUUUACAUGUGCGGAUUAGAAAUACAAAUGUAAGUGAAUUUCAGUAAGUGAAUGAGUUCAUGUCAAAAGGGCUGUCAGAGAAAAAACAUACAUUUUGUAGGUCAUAGAGGAAAUAAGAUCUUGUAAAAAAGUAUUUCCAACAAGCAGAAAGUUUCGGAGGAUCUCUGCCAGCCUGCUUUGGAUCAAAGAAGUGCUUAGCUGGGGGGGUGGGGGAGAAAAACUCUGCCUUUUAAUCAAUUCUGAAAUGUCUUCCAGUUAGGGUUAUGUAAAUUACCAAUGUGAACCUGGAAGUGCUACUGAUUAUAAACAAAAGUGAAAUUGCCUGUUUUCUUUUUCUGGAUUAACUUGAGAAUUUAAAGUAAAUCACAUAAAUACAAUGUAGCAUUUUUUUUUCAAUUUUACAUUCAGUGGUCUAAGCAUAGGAGCAUGAUAGGUUGGAAUAUAGUUGUUUGGAAUACAGUUUUUCAAGCAUAGUCAGUUGGCCACAUCUGAGAGAGUCUGUUUUUUUUAAAGAAAAACCACUGGGUAUAAAUAAUACUACCAUGGUCAUAAUAGUUUAAUCCAAUUAAGUGUUAGGAAUAGAACAGCCCUGAAGAGAAUAUUGCAAAAAGAGAGCUGCAAUAAACUGGUUUUAUAUUUACUUGCCUUGUGAUAA
Molecule: long non-coding RNA, 1411 nt
Filed under: Crocodylus porosus (Australian saltwater crocodile)
Lineage: Eukaryota; Metazoa; Chordata; Crocodylia; Crocodylidae
Description: lncRNA (ENSCPRG00005005450.1)
Source: RNAcentral